RNAcentral lists this small RNA (28 nucleotides) under Bombyx mori (domestic silkworm). RNAcentral describes it as "piRNA piR-bmo-1814043". The record is from RNAcentral. Lineage: Eukaryota; Metazoa; Arthropoda; Insecta; Lepidoptera; Bombycidae.
UACCAGCACACGCCUGGCGUCCGGCUUC